This 570-nucleotide ribosomal RNA is filed under the name uncultured Glomeromycotina. Its description in RNAcentral is "SSU rRNA". It matches the Rfam family "Eukaryotic small subunit ribosomal RNA", at positions 548 to 1114 of the family's 1831-position model. Lineage: Eukaryota; Fungi; Glomeromycota. The record is from RNAcentral.
UUGGAGGGCAAGUCUGGUGCCAGCAGCCGCGGUAAUUCCAGCUCCAAUAGCGUAUAUUAAAGUUGCUGCAGUAAAAAAGCUCGUAGUUGAAUUUCGGGACCGAUGUAUCGGUCGUACCUCGGUACGUACUGGUAUUUUCGGUUUCUCCCUUCUGACGAACCUUGAUGUCAUUAAUUUGGUGUCUUGGGGAAUCAGGACUGUUACUUUGAAAAAAUUAGAGUGUUUAAAGCAGGCUUAUUAGGCUUGAAUACAUUAGCAUGGAAUAAUGAAAUAGGACGAUUGAUCCUAUUUUUGUUGGUUUCUAGGAUUGACGUAAUGAUUAAUAGGGAUAGUUGGGGGCAUUAGUAUUCAAUUGUCAGAGGUGAAAUUCUUGGAUUUAUUGAAGACUAACUACUGCGAAAGCAUUUGCCAAGGAUGUUUUCAUUAAUCAAGAACGAAAGUUAGGGGAUCGAAGACGAUCAGAUACCGUCGUAGUCUUAACUAUAAACUAUGCCGACUAGGGAUCGGAUGAUGUUAAUUCUUUUUAAUGACUCAUUCGGCGCCUUACGGGAAACCAAAGUGUUUGGGUUC